AUUGAACGCUGGCGGCAGGCCUAACACAUGCAAGUCGAACGGUAACAGGAAACAGCUUGCUGUUUCGCUGACGAGUGGCGGACGGGUGAGUAAUGUCUGGGAAACUGCCUGAUGGAGGGGGAUAACUACUGGAAACGGUAGCUAAUACCGCAUAACGUCGCAAGACCAAAGAGGGGGACCCUCGGGCCUCUUGCCAUCGGAUGCGCCCAGAUGGGAUUAGCUUGUUGGUGGGGUAACGGCUCACCAAGGCGACGAUCCCUAGCUGGUCUGAGAGGAUGACCAGCCACACUGGAACUGAGACACGGUACAGGCUCCUACGGGAGGCAGCAGUGGGGAAUAUUGCACAAUGGGCGCAAGCCUGAUGCAGCCAUGCCGCGUGUAUGAAGAAGGCCUUCGGGUUGUAAAGUACUUUCAGCGGGGAGGAAGGGAGUAAAGUUAAUACCUUUGCUCAUUGACGUUACCCGCAGAAGAAGCACCGGCUAACUCCGU
RNAcentral lists this ribosomal RNA (489 nucleotides) under uncultured bacterium. RNAcentral describes it as "partial 16S ribosomal RNA". It matches the Rfam family "Bacterial small subunit ribosomal RNA", at positions 30 to 506 of the family's 1533-position model. The record is from RNAcentral.